Molecule: long non-coding RNA, 371 nt
Organism: Pieris brassicae (large cabbage white)
Lineage: Eukaryota; Metazoa; Arthropoda; Insecta; Lepidoptera; Pieridae
Exons: 2
Source: RefSeq, a predicted model, not a curated record
UUCUUGGCAUAAAGUUAAAACUAUCGCCAUAAAAAACUUUAAAAAAAACUAUCCUUGGCCAUGGGCUGCAGGAUGUCAUUAAAAGUACAUAUGCUGCAUGCUCAUUUGGAUAAAUUUAAAAACAAUAUGGGAGCCUAUUCCGAAGAGCAAGGAGAACGUUUCCAUCAGGACAUCAUGAAUUUUGAACAACGCUAUCAAGGCCAAUACAAUGAAAACAUGAUGGGCGACUAUAUUUCGGGUUUAUUGAGAGAAAGUAGCUAUGAACAUAAAAGAAAAAGUAAAACUGUGCACUUUUAAGUUAUUUUCCACUUUUCUGUAAGCUAAUUUGAUAGUGAAACUUAAUAAAAAUAAUAAACAUUUUUAUUUCAAUA